UAACUGAAUUUUAUAAAGCUGAUCGAUAUCUUGGUAAAAUAUUCAUUUUUAAACUAGCGGGCAGCGAAAUCUUUGCUUUGUGCUAAAGUCAACAGUAGCACAGUUUCAGCUCCAAUAAAUGCCGGGAUGCUUCCAGCUCCCGCAGAGCCGGGGCGCGGCGGGCUGGGCCGGCGGCCGGGGCGCAGGAAAAUAAAUGUAGCAAGGAACGGAGAUUUCCUCCCGCUGCCAGCUAAGCGAUGCUUGAUAAAGGGUCCGAACGCGGAGCGCGGUGCUGGAUAAAUGACUCGGUGUAUUUAACAAAGAGACGAGCGAAAACGACCCAACAAAUAAACAAGAAAGUAAUCGGGACUGACACACAGAAGCAAGAGGAAGCGGGCCGGGUCGCAGGAACUGGGCUCCUGUGGGUGCUGCUCCACAAGUGGACCCUUCGCUCUCAGGCGGUGUAAACGCGGGGACACCCGCCCCUUGGCACAGCUGGUCCCGCGCUUCGUUGGGGCUGCAGUAAUGCAGGUACCAGCACCCGCGGCCCUUUUUGGGAUUUCCUCGGGUGGGCGAUUGCCUCGGCGCGAUGCUCGCUCAGCUGCUCUCUCUGAGCCCAACCGACCUGGGCAAAACCCACCUGCGUUCAGCUUCUCUUCCUUUUGAACCCCCUUGCUCACGAAGGCGACUCGCCACGGCUCUACCCUCUUUGCAGAAGGUCAUACCUGCUAUUUCUGCGCCUUAAUCUGACGAGGUACGAGCGAGGGCUCUGCCAGGUGGGCCCUGGCGAUGAUGAUGUUACAGGUGCUCUUUGGAGAUGAGCUACUUUCCCAGCGAGAAAGGCGAGAGCCUGUUUCCCGGAGUGCAACGCACGAGGUGGGAUUUGAGAAAGGAGGAUUUGGACUUUGCUGACGUUCAGAUCCAGGGCAGGAAUCAAGAGGACGCCUGAUGAAGCAAGGUCCAUUAAUUCAGGUGGCUUUCCCAAAGCCUGCUGCCGCAGCAGCCAGCCAGAGGCAGGACCAGCCAAACCUCAGCUCCGCAGAGAGCACCCAGAACGUGGUGUACGUGGGACCGGGUGCUCCUCACCCCUCGGGCCCGCCCUGGAGGACACCAAGGCCACCCUGGAGCACCCUGCCAGGCCACGGCGCGUUCCCAGUCUCCGCGGAGGGAUGUAUGCAUUUACCAGCUGCCCCAAAAGCCCCUUCUCUCCUGCUUCUCUUGCUCCUCCCCAGUACUCAUCCAGCGUCUCGCUACUCUAAGGGGCCGGCAAGCGCUGCCGAAACCUGCCUGGCCUCACCAAGGGCUUCCCUCUCACAGGACCGGUCCCGCAGGCUGCUCACGCCGUACGGGAAGGUCAUAUCUGAAGCAUCAUCCUGCCCAGCGAUACCUCUGAGAAGGAGGAAGGCGGCUGCUCUGGGCUUUCGGCAUCGCAAGCGUGAACCUUUUUCCCCGGUGGAAACCAGGACUUAUAAUGGAGUUGCUGACACCACCUCAAUUACCGCCGCGCUACCCGCUGCCCCGUAAUGAAGGAAUUUUCCUCUUUUUGCAGUGUGAAUACUAAUUGAGACGGGCUCCCGUGCGGCGCCAGCGCAGGAGGAUGGUGCCAUCUAAAGGAACCGAAGCAAAGAAGAGCAGCAGCCGCCGCCGAGGUGGUGCGGAGGGACCCGUGGCAUCAUUUCAGCGGCUGUGAGGUUGGUCGGCAGCGGGGCCCCGGCUCAGCAGAGGCCUCCAGAGGAAGUUUCUGAUGGGCGUUUGAUGGUUUCAUGCCACCUUAAAGAUAAUGGGGGCCCUCAUUUGCAUGGGAUUUGCCUAUUCCCUACAAAGCUGAGCGUGUAGGGUGUUUUCCUCCUGGCACCUUCUCGUUUCCGUCCUGUACGUAGCUGAUACCAGGGAAAUCGAGGGUAGCGUCUGGCUGGGAUCCUCGAUCCGCGCAAAGCAGGGCCAUCCACCCCAAAGCCAAGUGGUCGUGAUCCCAGAGGACUUAGUGCAGGCCUUUGGGAUCAGGUUUUGGAAGUGCCCGUACCCGAUGUGUACAAGCUCAGCCCUGCCCCCAUAGCCUCGCUGGAGCGUCGGGGAUGGUUAUGCUAUAGGGACCGGGAACCGGGACCUCCACAGAAAACUAACCAGUUUGAGCUAACCAAGUCAACGUACGGGCACAUCUGCUGGCGCUCCGACCCAGCGUAAACCCCCGCCCCCCCGAUGCAUUCCCUUUGUCAAGAGGGCUGCAGUCAUCCAAAAAAUCCUCUUGGCAUAUGCGGCUAACAAGCCCAAACCAACCCCAGCAUUCCUAUUUUACCUUUUUUGACUCACUGCACGCUAUGAAAGGAACAUCAGUCAUGAUUUACAGAGCCGCCACAAGAACCCUGCAAGAUGGGACUGCCCGCCGAAUUCCAGGUACGUGAAGAAGGCUGACACUUUUGUUUCGGCAAUUAAUUAAUUUUCACGGGGCUUUCACUUUUACAACCUCUUUUUCCACUUCCCGGGUUGCUCAACUCGAAAUCAAUAAGACCACCCCGUGAUAAAGACGUCAUGCUGAAUGUAUAUGUCAUUAAUCACUCGAGUUACCUUUCAACCCAGCGCGUUUCCUUUGUUGGAGCCUUCCCUCGAGGUACUGGAAAAACAAACAGACACAUUUAUAACAACCCCUCAGGGCUAAGUCAACAGUUGCAUUCACCUCCUUAAUCAACAUCUUGGGCUUAACCAAGAUCAUCUCUCAAGCUCCUCAAAGAGCUACAAAGCAGUAACUGUACUUUCCCAGUACAGAUAAUUGGGAUUUUACAGGGCAUGAUGAUAGACUUCAUUGAAAAAGUUAUCCUAACAUCGCUGCUCGCUGCUGCGAGUCCGAAAGUCAUUGCCCAAACCAAAGCGGGCGUUCGAGAUACCCGAUGGCAUCGUGAAGACGCGCUCGGGCAUGUUUUCCAAACCAUUAAUAUUUGGCUGUGGUGCAAUGGAAGAUGAAAGACCUGGAGUCCUUCGUUUCCAACCACCCAAACCCGCCACGCCUCGGCCCUAUUUUUACGCGUCUCUUGUGAAAGAGCGAUGCGAAGGUCAACAAGUCAAGAGCCGGAGCACCCGGGACCAUCAGAGUUACGGCCGUCCGCCUCGGCCCCCCCUGGGCACGGGGCUCCCUGCUUGCAGGACCCAGCACCACCUUGUGCAUUCUCGGUCAACGAGGACCAGGAUGGACCUGCCCUGGGGUCCAUCUCACCCGCAGUCCUUCACCCAGCCGCCUCCUCUCCUCUUCUGAAGCUCUCCACAGCCCAUGGGGAUCGACAGACCCUGCGCUGAAGUGUUCAAAAUAUUUUUGAAUGAAAGUGUCAGUUCGAGAUCCUUGGCAUAAAACAUACCUAACAAAGCCUAUUUGCAAAGUAAAUUUACUCUGGAUUUCCGAUACCUAGGAAAGUUUUUUCUAUUAUAUUUAUUUAAAAUUACAACAGUUUACAUUAGAAACAAGCUCAAACAAUUAAGGUAAAAGAUAAAUAACUGCAUACAGUUUAAUUUUACAAAAUGCAAACAUACAUCUUUCGUUGUUCCAUUAUCCGAGUAUUAAGUGCAAUAUAAUUGUCCGAUGCAUUUUCGCUGACUUAAAUGCUAUGAAAUUAAACGGGCCUGAC
Molecule: RNA transcript, 3593 nt
Organism: Grus americana (Whooping crane)
Lineage: Eukaryota; Metazoa; Chordata; Aves; Gruiformes; Gruidae
Exons: 6
Source: RefSeq, a predicted model, not a curated record